This 682-nucleotide ribosomal RNA is filed under the name uncultured bacterium. Its description in RNAcentral is "bacterial SSU rRNA". It matches the Rfam family "Bacterial small subunit ribosomal RNA", at positions 31 to 729 of the family's 1533-position model. The record is from RNAcentral.
UGACGCUGGCGGCUGCUUUACACAUGCAAGUCGAGCGGCAGCGCGGGGGCAACCCUGGCGGCGAGCGGCGAACGGGUGAGUAAUGGAUAGGAACGUAUCCGGGAGUGGGGGAUAACUAGCCGAAAGGUUAGCUAAUACCGCAUAUUCUCUUAGGAGGAAAGCAGGGGACCAGAAAUGGCCUUGCGCUCGCGGAGUGGCCUAUCUCCGAUUAGCUGGUUGGUGAGGUAAAGGCUUACCAAGGCGACGAUCGGUAGCUGGUCUGAGAGGAUGAUCAGCCACACUGGGACUGAGACACGGCCCAGACUCCUACGGGAGGCAGCAGUGGGGAAUAUUGGACAAUGGGCGAAAGCCUGAUCCAGCAAUGCCGCGUGAGUGAUGAAGGCCUUAGGGUUGUAAAGUUCUUUUACCCGGGAAGAUAAUGACUGUACCGGGAGAAUAAGCCCCGGCUAACUCCGUGCCAGCAGCCGCGGUAAUACGGAGGGGGCUAGCGUUGUUCGGAAUUACUGGGCGUAAGGCGCACGUAGGCGGCUUUGUAAGUUAGAGGUGAAAGCCCGGGGCUCAACUCCGGAAUUGCCUUUAAGACUGCAUCGCUAGAAUUGUGGAGAGGUGAGUGGAAUUCCGAGGUGUAGAGGUGAAAUUCGUAGAUUAUCCGGAAAGAACACCAGUGGCGAAGGCGACUCAC